RNAcentral lists this ribosomal RNA (498 nucleotides) under uncultured bacterium. RNAcentral's name for it is "partial 16S ribosomal RNA". It matches the Rfam family "Bacterial small subunit ribosomal RNA", at positions 30 to 523 of the family's 1533-position model. The record is from RNAcentral.
AUUGAACGCUGGCGGCAUGCCUUACACAUGCAAGUCGAACGGUAACAGGUCUUCGGAUGCUGACGAGUGGCGAACGGGUGAGUAAUACAUCGGAACGUGCCUAGUAGUGGGGGAUAACUACUCGAAAGAGUGGCUAAUACCGCAUGAGAUCUACGGAUGAAAGCAGGGGAUCGCAAGACCUUGUGCUACUAGAGCGGCCGAUGGCAGAUUAGGUAGUUGGUGGGAUAAAAGCUUACCAAGCCGACGAUCUGUAGCUGGUCUGAGAGGACGAUCCGCCACACUGGGACUGGGAAACGGACCAGACUCCUACGGGAGGCAGCAGUGGGGAAUUUUGGACAAUGGGCGGAAGCCUGAUCCAGCAAUGCCGCGUGCAGGAUGAAGGCCUUCGGGUUGUAAACUGCUUUUGUACGGAACGAAAAGCCCCGGGUUAAUACCCUGGGGUCAUGACGGUACCGUAAGAAUAAGCACCGGCUAACUACGCGCCAGCCGCCACAGUAA